UAGCAUAUGCUUGUCUCAAAGAUUAAGCCAUGCAUGUCUAAGUAUAAACAUUUAUACAGUGAAACUGCGAAUGGCUCAUUAUAUCAGUUAUAAUUUAUUUGAUAGUACUUUACUACAUGGAUAACCGUGGUAAUUCUAGAGCUAAUACAUGCAAAAAAACCCGACUUAUUGAAGGGUUGUAUUUAUUAGGUAAAAACCAAUGCCAGUAAUGGCUUUUUGGUGAUUCAUAAUAACUUUUCAGAUCGCAUGACCUUGAGUCGGCGACGUAUCAUUCAAA
This 277-nucleotide ribosomal RNA is filed under the name uncultured eukaryote. RNAcentral describes it as "partial 18S ribosomal RNA". It matches the Rfam family "Eukaryotic small subunit ribosomal RNA", at positions 25 to 303 of the family's 1831-position model. The record is from RNAcentral.